CCUACGGGAGGCAGCAGUGGGGAAUAUUGCACAAUGGGCGCAAGCCUGAUGCAGCCAUGCCGCGUGUGUGAAGAAGGCCUUCGGGUUGUAAAGCACUUUCAGCGGGGAGGAAGGCGUUAAGGUUAAUAACCUUGGCGAUUGACGUUACCCGCAGAAGAAGCACCGGCUAACUCCGUGCCAGCAGCCGCGGUAGUACGGAGGGUGCAAGCGUUAAUCGGAAUUACUGGGCGUAAAGCGCACGCAGGCGGUCUGUCAAGUCGGAUGUGAAAUCCCCGGGCUCAACCUGGGAACUGCAUUCGAAACUGGCAGGCUAGAGUCUUGUAGAGGGGGGUAGAAUUCCAGGUGUAGCGGUGAAAUGCGUAGAGAUCUGGAGGAAUACCGGUGGCGAAGGCGGCCCCCUGGACAAAGACUGACGCUCAGGUGCGAAAGCGUGGGGAGCAAACAGGAUUAGAUACCCGAGUAGUC
RNAcentral lists this ribosomal RNA (465 nucleotides) under uncultured Klebsiella sp. Its description in RNAcentral is "bacterial SSU rRNA". It matches the Rfam family "Bacterial small subunit ribosomal RNA", at positions 338 to 795 of the family's 1533-position model. The record is from RNAcentral. Lineage: Bacteria; Pseudomonadati; Pseudomonadota; Gammaproteobacteria; Enterobacterales; Enterobacteriaceae.